GCCCGAUUGGCUCAGUGGUAGAGUUUCAAGUGCCCUUACCUAAAUGGGGGCCUUGAAGACCGCAAGUUCGAUUCUUGCAUCGGGCU
This is a non-coding RNA of Peziza echinospora, 86 nucleotides long. NCBI's taxonomy places the organism in Eukaryota, Fungi, Ascomycota, Pezizomycetes, Pezizales, Pezizaceae. The record is from the annotation of a GenBank genome assembly.